Long non-coding RNA from Eubalaena glacialis (North Atlantic right whale), 474 nucleotides. RefSeq lists it as uncharacterized. The transcript is spliced from 3 exons. The record is from RefSeq and is a predicted model, not a curated record. Lineage: Eukaryota; Metazoa; Chordata; Mammalia; Artiodactyla; Balaenidae.
GCCCGAGGGGGCAGGACAGGGACAGUUGAGGGUCGCGGGGUCCUAGCGCCUGAUACUGCUAUGGGCGUAGAAGCCGUCCCAGGAGUCCUGACAUUGGCUAGCCAGAGCUCGUCGCGUCUGCCUGAGCGGCCGCUCCUCUACCAAGAGCACUCAGAUUCCCCAAGAAACCCCCUGAGGGGUUAGCAACCACCUCUGGCACGGGUGUACGUCUAUAGCUUUUCUAUGAUGGCUCUGAAUAAUAGGAGUCAUGUGGCUGGAGGUGUCCUUUGUCAAGAUUAUUCUGGCAGCCACCUGCAUGUUGGAUGGAGGGUAAGGCUAGGUUGUAACCUAACAAUGGGAUGGAGGGCUCAGACUGGGCCAGUGGCUAAGAAUAGAAAUGGACACACCUCAGAGAUAUUGAAAGGGAAACAUGCUGGUGACUAGUGAUUAGUGUGUUUGUGAGAGCAGCAAUGAUUGUGUGUGUGUGUGUGUGUG